GACGAACGCUGGCGGCGUGCUUAACACAUGCAAGUCGAACGGUGAAGCACCUUCCUUUUGGUGGGUGUGGAUGAGUGGCGAACGGGUGAGUAACACGUGAGUAACCUGCCCCCUUCUUCUGGAUAACCGCAUGAAAGUGUGGCUAAUACGGGAUAUUCUGGGUCUGUCGCAUGGCGGGCCUGGGAAAGAUAUUGUUUCGGUGGGGGAUGGGCUCGCGGUCUAUCAGCUUGUUGGUGGGGUGAUGGCCUACCAAGGCGGUGACGGGUAGCCGGCCUGAGAGGGUGGACGGUCACACUGGGACUGAGACACGGCCCAGACUCCUACGGGAGGCAGCAGUGGGGAAUAUUGCACAAUGGGCGCAAGCCUGAUGCAGCGACGCCGCGUGAGGGAUGGAGGCCUUCGGGUUGUAAACCUCUUUCGCCAGUGAAGCAGGCCUGUCCCUUUUGUGGGUGGGUUGACGGUAGCUGGAUAAGAAGCGCCGGCUAACUACGUGC
Molecule: ribosomal RNA, 494 nt
Filed under: uncultured bacterium
Lineage: Bacteria
Description: partial 16S ribosomal RNA
Rfam family: Bacterial small subunit ribosomal RNA
Source: RNAcentral